CCUACGGGGGGCAGCAGUGGGGAAUAAUGGACAAUGGGGGCAACCCUGAUCCAGCCAUGCCGCGUGUGUGAAGAAGGCCCUCGGGUUGUAAAGCACUUUCAGUGAGGAAGAACGCCUGGUGGUUAAUACCCAUCAGGAAAGACAUCACUCACAGAAGAAGCACCGGCUAACUCCGUGCCAGCAGCCGCGGUAAUACGGAGGGUGCGAGCGUUAAUCGGAAUUACUGGGCGUAAAGCGCGCGUAGGUGGCUUGAUAAGCCGGUUGUGAAAGCCCCGGGCUCAACCUGGGAACGGCAUCCGGAACUGUCAAGCUAGAGUGCAGGAGAGGAAGGUAGAAUUCCCGGUGUAGCGGUGAAAUGCGUAGAGAUCGGGAGGAAUACCAGUGGCGAAGGCGGCCUUCUGGACUGACACUGACACUGAGGUGCGAAAGCGUGGGUAGCAAACAGGAUUAGAUACCCUUGUAGUC
This 465-nucleotide ribosomal RNA is filed under the name Vreelandella stevensii. RNAcentral describes it as "partial 16S ribosomal RNA". It matches the Rfam family "Bacterial small subunit ribosomal RNA", at positions 338 to 795 of the family's 1533-position model. The record is from RNAcentral. Lineage: Bacteria; Pseudomonadati; Pseudomonadota; Gammaproteobacteria; Oceanospirillales; Halomonadaceae.